CGGGGCGGCCGCCGGCCCCCGACUGGACGGCCCCGCGCCGCGCGUCUGUCUCUGCGGAAGCUCUCCCUCCCUGCCCUCCUCCCGCCGCCCCUCCGUCCGUCUGUCCGCCGGCGGCUGGGUUCUCCGAAGGCUGCGCAAGAAACGCCGAAGGGUUCGUUCCUCCUGCCGCCUCUCCUCCGUAGCCAAGUUUAGUUCCCUUCAAGUGAUUCAUCAGUCUCCAGCUUUAGCAGUCCAGAGUUACCCAUUUAUGAUAACCAGCCAGUGUAAGGAAAAGGUGUCAUGAAGCUUCUUUACCUCUCAAAAGAGCUAAAUUCCUGAACAACGCAGAGACAUUCGUGUCACGUUUACUAGAGAUGUAUUGGGGAUCUUUAACGUUUACACUACUCCUCGGGAGAAUUGAGUUCUGUUCUAAGAUUUAGUGAGUUAAAACAUUUGUCAGUCUUGUAAGAUGCACAUCGAGAAAAACCUGCACUUUGAAAAAGAAACAGGAAAAAAAUCAACAACGUUUUUGUACACUAACGUGCCUGCUUUUGUUGAUAACUUCUUACUGUAAAAGCUUUCAGAAGUCUAUAGUGAAAAUGUUUGGUAAAUUCACUGCAGUUUAAAAUCGACGAUUAGUUCCUUUACUAAAACAGCUGAGAUGUUGCUAGGAUAUGGCAGUUACAAGGGAGUCCAAAUGUCAUACACAUUCCUUUUUGUAAACAGGUUCUGUGUUUUUAUGCGAGGCAGGAUUUCUUUUCGGUUUACACAGGUGAAGGUUUAAUUCUAUUUUGUACAACUACAUGGUUUACCUUGUAAAGAGUUCCAUUUUACCUGUUACGAUCCAUCAAUCUGGUAAGCUUGAAUAUUAAAGUUUUAUUUGAAAUAUAUAUAUUGUAAAACAGCCUUAACCGGUGCAGUGGUCACAGUUUUAAAGGGAAAAAAGGAAAAAAAAAAAAAAAGAAAAAGAAAAAAGAUAACCAUCCUGGAAGGCAUCUUCCGAAUGUGUUUUCAGAGCAGUAUUUAUACUCCUGUUAACAGAGGUUUAUUUCAUUUUAUUUUAUUUUAUUUUUCCUUUCAAAGAGGCCACUUCAAUUCCGCAGGAGGAAGGAAAAAUUCAUAAUAAUAGGAUUGUAUGCUAUUAACUCUUUCUGAGCUCGGAGGUGUGAAAAAGGCAAAGAGAGAAACUGCUAAGUGCUGUUCCUGGAUUCUGCCGUGGAGUGCCAGAGCCAAGGCGGUGUCAGAAAGUACCAGCUAAGGAAACGCAGCCGCCUCUGAUUCCAGUGAGUUUAUCCUGAGGUAAGGAGUGGAGAUGACAUUGCAGACUGCUACUCCUUCACUCACUGAGCUUUAGCUAUCUGGAAGACCCCCGCAAGCUU
Long non-coding RNA from Gallus gallus (chicken), 1358 nucleotides. The record is from Ensembl. NCBI's taxonomy places the organism in Eukaryota, Metazoa, Chordata, Aves, Galliformes, Phasianidae.